CCCAUCACUUGGGGAGUAACCUUGCGAAAGUAAGACUAAUACCCAAUGACGUCUCUAGAAGACAUCUGAAAGAGAUUAAAGGUAUCCGGUAGACGAUGGGGAUGCGUUCCAUUAGAUAGUAGGCGGGGUAACGGCCCACCAAGGCGACGAUCAGUAGGGGUUCGUGAGAGGAAGGUCCCCCACCAUUGGAACUGAGACACGGUCCAAACUCCUACGGGAGGCAGCAGUGAGGAAUAUUGGUCAAUGGACGAGAGUCUGAACCAGCCAAGUAGCGUGCAGGAUGACGGCCCUAUGGGUUGUAAACUGCUUUUAUAAGGGAAUAAAGUGGGAGUCGUGACUCUUUUUGCAUGUACCUUAUGAAUAAGGACCGGCUAAUUCCGUG
Molecule: ribosomal RNA, 382 nt
Filed under: uncultured bacterium
Lineage: Bacteria
Description: bacterial SSU rRNA
Rfam family: Bacterial small subunit ribosomal RNA
Source: RNAcentral